Molecule: non-coding RNA, 6825 nt
Organism: Lolium perenne
Lineage: Eukaryota; Viridiplantae; Streptophyta; Magnoliopsida; Poales; Poaceae
Source: RefSeq, a predicted model, not a curated record
CGUUCCGUGUGCUUCUAGCGAUGGAUUGGCUUGGGAUUUUGGGUCGGUCAAAGCGGCGCUGCUUCGUUUCUGUCCCCUCUGGACUCUCUUUCCAUCCUAUUUUUCUCUUUUCUUUCUAUCUCUCAGUUCCUAUCCCUCCCCUACCGGAGCUCCUCCCGAGCUCGCUCAUGCGGUCCUGCCUCGAUUUCUCCAUGCCUAGAGCUCUCCUGCUUGGAAGGAAGCUGCGGGAGGGGUCUUGGUUUUCUGAUUUUAAUGUGGUUUUCGGUCUUCUCUAUGGUGCCGCUGCGGUAGGAGACUCGCUCCGGCCAGCCACGCCACUUCCCUUUGCGCGCCGGCGCCAGCAGUCCGGUUUGCCUCCCCCGAGCCCACAGGAUUCCCGGACGAUCGGAGCCCGUCGCGCCGUUAUUCCCCGCCAUAGAGCCGCCCCCCUUCCAUUGCUGGACUCGGUUGUUGUGCUGCUGCCGCUGGACCGCCCUUCCUGCCAUGGCCGAUGCAGUCCCGCCGGCUGCCGAUUGAGAUGAAGCUGGGCUGCACGGGAUGCCCGCCGCCGCUCGAUUCGGCGGCCAGCCACCAUCAAAGCCAGCAGCGUCGCCCGAGUCCAUGAAGGCUUGCCAACGGCGCUGCUCUUAUGCGUCUCCACCUCCGGCUGCCACUGUUCUUCAUCUCCUGGAAGGCUGCACAUUUGGAUAGAGCGUCGGCCUUUUCCUCAUUCGGGCGCCGGCGCCGCUCCGCCUCCAUUCAACCACGCUGCCGCCGAGGAAGGCCCUACGGCAGGCAGGCCGCUCUUUGCUCCAUCAGGCGCUGCUGCGGCCGCUCUGUCUCCGUUCAACCAUCGUCAACCGGCAUCGCGGCCCACGCAACGAGGUCGCCCCCCUUCUUCGUCGCCCUCUCCGCCUCUGCGUCGCCGUUCAUGCCCGCCCGGGGACGCGCGCUCAAGGCUUCGUGCGACCAUGGUCACCGUGUGGCGCGGCGCACGCGGCGAUGUCGGCCCCCUUAUGGGUCUCCUCCGCCUCUGCGUCGUCAUUCGUACCCGCCCGAGGACGCGCGCUCAAGGCAUGGUAGGCCUACAAGUAUUCCAUGGGGCCGUGUCCGGCCUAUUCCGCUUGCCGUUCCUCCCGUUCCAGGCACAACUGCCAUGCUUCAAGGAAAUCUUGCAAUUGGCAGGCAAGAAGUCCUUCGGUAGUUUCAAAAACCACUGGAUCGAUAAGGCAUAUUGGGAAAGUAAGGAUGCAUUUCUUCCUGGAAGAUGUACCAUGCGGACGCUACAAAUGGAAAUGGUGCGUGCUGCGGGCACCUGGGAAUAUAGAGAUUAGGACACACGGCGUCACUUAUAGUUGAUGGAUUUUAUUGCCAUCAACCAUGAGGUAUACUCUCGAAACUUCAAACACUUUGUUUACUCGCCCUCUGUAUAAACCACUUGAACUGUUGGAACCAAUAUGUUGCCCCCUUUUCCCAACAAAUAUAUUAUUAUCUGAUUAUCUCUAUUUGUUGUAAUUAAAUUUGACAUAUGACAGUGUUAUUUUAACCAUUAUAAUGCUACUUAUCUAUAAUUACUUAACCCUAUUAUUCAUUCAGCUAUGAAUAGGUCAACAUUUAUUUACUAUCUUUCUAAGCUACUGAAAAGUUGGCUUGAUAAUAAUUUGGUAAAGGAAGAAGAAAAAAAAUGGUUUGGUCACUGCAAGAUAAUACGAAAUGCAGACCCAUCUGAAUUUCAGUUAUGUAUAGAGCAUACUGUUCAAGGCUUAUGCUUCUCAGUAUAUGUGAGGUACUUAUAUAGAGCAAAGAUGCCAUGUUAUUGAUAUAACAGUUCCAAUUAUUUAUACAAGGAAAAAAACUAUAUGCGAUUAAAGUUGUAAUUUCCCUCAUUAAAGCUCAUAGACAUUUCCCCCUGCAAUGUUUUGGUAGCAAACUUAAUUUAUUUUUGUGUACAAUUAAUAUUAAAGUCAGGUGACCAUUUCAGUGAAACACCAUAGAUGGGGCUGUGUACCAGCCAAAUGCGUCGAUCAAUUCAGAGACUAAUUGAAGGAAUGCUUGAUCUACACUUGAUAUGUUCAUUGUUGCGGGAGCACAGAAAAAGUGCAGAAUGACAAUCCAUCGAUACAUAAUCAAAUUUGAUCAAUGCACAAUGAUUCAGGAAGUUACUCCUCAGCCUGAUAAUUUCCCAUUGUUUGCAUUUUAUCGUUUUGAUCUUCUGGAAGCAUUUAUACCAGAUGCAUACUUUAAGGUUUCCUUUAUUCUGCACUACAGAUGUCAUCGGGGUUUUUCUGUGUCAAAAUCAUAAGAAUAUGUAAUAGAAGGUAUAUCAAACUAGAAAAGCAUCUGUGUAUGUUUUUCUUCGCCUCUAUAGCAGACCUCUUCUAGCACAGGUCGUAGUUGUUGAAGUGAAUUUGUUUUGCUCUAAAUUAUAUAUUUUAUGUGAGGUGUAUAUCUCGAAUUGUGACAUAAAUAUUACAUUUCUCGCAAUAGAGUAGAAUUGUAUUGUGACUGCUAGAGUAACAGUUCUGUUACUCUAGCAGGAGUCCUGGAACAUCAAUAUACAUCAAUAUUUUACUUUUUCUGGUUACUUCAGUUCUUAUUUUUUAUUCCAUAUGACUCUUUAAGCAAGUCAGGACUAGAUGCAAAUUAUGUAAGCACAUGAUACAAUGCUGACCAGUGAAUAUACACUUUUAUAAUCAGAUACAAUCCAAUCAACAAAUUUCUUUCCAUUUGCCAUAAAAUAACUCUAGAUCGUGGGAAACAUGUUGUGCAGUCCAAUAAGGUUACUUCUACCAUAAGAACUUUCUCAAAGAAUCUACUUCUGUCAUGUUUCUCAUGUCUUACAUGCAUCCCGGCAAACUCCACUUCAUGAAAAUUCUGAAGCAAGCAUUCUGUUGCCAACUAUGACUUCCUUUGUUGAAGACUAAUUUAUAUGCGCCAGCUUUGCAUUGCCUCGCUGAAGACUAAUUAUUAAGUGGCGCUGGUCACUUACGCACAAUGGAUAUCUGAAUAUUUGAGUGCCAUGCUUAUAUUGGUUAAUGGGAGAAAGCAGAUUCUCCAGGAAAUCACUCCCAGUGUUCCUGGAAUUAGGUGGAUUUUCCUGAGAGGCUCUUUUUAUUGAGGAACCCAAGGUAGGGAUGAAUAAGUACUGGUAGUAUCCAUGUUGUUCUCUCCAUUUAUUAAGAUGUGAGUAGUUUCCACUGGUUAUAGGAAGAGUUUGUUACAGGAACAUAAUUGCUUGGUAUGUUUAUCAAUUCCUAACUCGCUUACUCUUACAGAUUUUAAAGCCUGCUCAUGCAAUUCUAUGUGAUGAAUGCACCAAAUCCUUUCCUUAUUUUUUUGGAGGCACUCAUAGCAUGAGACACAUUGACUGCACACUCAUUACCACUAAUUAUUAGAUGAAGGUGGUGUUAGGGAAUAAGUCUAAGGCUAUGCAUACUCUGGAAUGGUUGUAGCACUAUGCUGGGUUGCAAGAGGUAUAACACCGCCUCCUUCAAUUAGUCAGUCAGUACCCAACGUACACUCAAGCCCAGUCCUACUUAGUUUGAUCCUAAAUUGAAAUGUUAGUUUGCCCCUUAGAACGUUGAAUUGCUAAUUUUUCGUGGUUCUGUAACAAUUGUUAGCAAGUUUUUUGUUGCUUGUGUUGGCAUUGGAUGAGUCCAUAUUUCAGUCCCAAGAUAUUGCUGUAAAUUGUGAUAUGUGGUCCAGAGGUACCAUUGUGUGUAUUACCAUUUGACAUUCGCAUACAUUCAUAUAUCCAGUUGGCAGUGCGGUUAGCAUGUUGUCAUAUCUAGCCAACUGAUAAUCAAAGAUGGUUGUUUAAGAACUAAACAGUUACUUUGAGGUAUCACAGAGGUAGUAGUAGGCCGACAUGGUCGACUUUACUCAAAAAAUUCUCUUUUAAAUAAUUUUUUUGGAACAUAUAAAUGAUUAAGUUUUAGAUAUAAUACAAUAAUUUUUCACCAUUCAGGUUAUAAUACUGUUAAAUCUGUCAUAACCUAAUGUGAUAAUACACAUGAGGGAUACCGAUGACCUCCACAUAAAGUAUUUUGGAAUGGAGAAAAUGGAAAUUUUUAUAAGGUCGGUUUUUGCUCUAUUCCAGUGGCAUGUAUUUGCUUAACUUAGUCAAGAUAUGAGAAUUUUCAUUCUCUUUCUCUAUUAAAUCUCACAAUGAGGAACGACAAUAGGUUGUUGAAUCCAAAUUGUUAGUCAAAGAGUUGGGUGUGGAACGAAGUUGAGACUUUGCAACAAUAUCUUAGAGAAGGUUAUGCAACAGAUCUGUAGACAACUUAUUUGUUGUGCUGGCUUAAACUACAUAUUUUUUAAAGAUUUGUUGCCUGUUGCUGCCAUGUUGUGCAGACGAGAUGAAUAUGGAAGACACCGAAAGAAUACCUGCCUUCUCCCUGGAGAAUGAAAGAUUAAGAGAGGGGGAAAUGUGAAGGAAAAUAUCAUUUCCCCCACACAUUUUUGCUUUGUGAUCUUAGAGUUGUUCAAAAAAUACUUUUUUUUUUCAAAGUUCGGGUUGCAGCCUUGAUUUGAAUAUGUGAGCUUAGGCCAAAGAUCAAAGAAGAAUCACAUAUCAGGCAUAAACUUAGAUAUCGAAGCUGCACAAGCAAUCUUUGCAGCCUAUUAGAAGGAAGGAGACACAUAAGGAAGGAGAGCAUCUCCUCGACUGGGAUAGAUGCCGGCUGCCCAAAUGAUGGCAACGCUGAGCCUUCCACGAGGAAUUCACGAGUGGCACUGUUCCUUCGUACAAUAUCUGAAGUCAAGGAAAUUGAACCAAGUAGAAAGAAUCAAGAUGAUUGUCCUAGCAUGUGUUCCACUGUGUUUUUAGCCUCUGGUUAUAUUACGAAGUGUGCAACUUGUUUUAAAUUGAAUAGUACAAUUUCAUUUUUGUUUGAUGGUGUAAUGAAAUUUGUGACGAGAUACAAACUUACCAGCUAAUCUUUAUGUUAAUACACCCAUAAUGUCUCUAUGGAUGGUUUCUAUGACAUCCAGUUUGAAUAUGGGCGAAAGUAACCAAUUUGACUAUUAGUGAAAGUGACAUCCUGAUAGAAAUGCACUUCAAAAUAAGACCAUCGUUUAUUCUAAUCCACAUUCAGUGCGGCGUGCCGCCGCGCCAGACCUUGCUAGUACUAUACUUAUUUGGUAACAAACUUCUUUUUUCUUACAAUUUUGAUUUUUUUUUGAGACUACCGACAUGCUGACACGUAUGCUAAAUUGUGGUUAAUUUCCGCAGUGAGUUUUUAGUGUACAGUUUCAAAGCUAUCUUGGAAUUUUUGUGCUUCUUUCCUUGUGUUAUGUAGUGGGCAUCGUUAUGGCCUGGGUGGAUGUAGCAGUUUCGUUUUCUCUGGCCCGCUGUGCUCCUCAUCGUGUGCCACGUACGUGGAUUUAGUUAAUCGGCUGGUCAAAGCGGUGCCCACUACCGAAUGAUUCAAGCGUUCGUUUUGCCUCAACCUUUUCUUUUCUCGGAUUCCUUUUUCUCUCCGCUCUCCUCUUUUCCAUUGCCGCCGGCGCCACAUCCUUCCAGGGCCGGCGCCUUCCUCUCUCGCUCUGUCCGCCGCUCCGUGCGGAUUUAAGUGUAGUGGACGUGUACGUGCUCGCCGGCUGAGCGAACGAAUAUGAGCGGUGGCCCUGCCCUACAGCGAGACCCUGGCAGAGCUGUGUGUCAGGCGGCCAUGGAGAGGGUCGGCUCCGGUGUAGCGGCCGUCGAGGAGAUGCUCCGGCUCCCCCAAUCAUUCUCCACCUGUGCCAUCCUUCUAUUUGCGACCAAGAUAGUAGAACCCUGGAAGAAGCUUUCAUGGCGGCUGCUCCUCCGCCCCUUGGUCCGGUCGUCUCCUCUCCUUCCUCGCUGGAGUGUGAAGGAGGUGACGCGCGCUGCGAGGCUGCGGGUGAACUCGCCGUGCGAAACCCUCCGCGUCGAGGCCCCGUGUCUUCUCCAGGACCGGCCGCUGCCUUCCCCGUCAUUCCACAGCAGGUUCUCUAGCGUGUUUGUCCCCAGCUCUUCAGAUCUGUUCAUUUUUUUCUUGGCCGCCGCAUACUGGGACUCUGGGAGACCACUUAAUGUUUGCUUAUAUCCACAUGGUUUCCUCUUGAGUACAGGAAGUUGCUUCAGUUCAUCAGUCGACGCUUCGCUUUUGGUCGAUGAGAGGUGGUUUCCUGUCAUUUGUUUCUGACGAGCGUUUCAGGUUUCACUUUCCUUUGAAUUGUCGUUGUGGUCCUUACCAGGGUUCUGCUGCUCACUAGCAACUAAGAUUUGGUAGGACGAUUUGGCUACGAAGCUUGGUUUUUCUGACCAGAAGAGGAACCUGCCAAUGGCAUAGUCAACAAUCGCUAGGGGAACACGAUAGAGGGAGCUGUGUACCAGCCAACUGCGUCGAUCAAUUCAGAGACUAAUGGAAGGAAGGCUUGAUCUACAUUUGAGAUGUUCAUUGCUGCGGGGGCACGGAAGAAGUGCAGAACGGCAGAGCAUCCGUACAUCAUCAACUUUGUUCAAUGUACAACGAUACAUGAAGUUACUCUUCAGCCUGAGAAUAUGCCUCUGUUUGCAUAUAAGGCUUAUCCAUUUGAUGUUAUGGAAGCAUGUAUUCAACAAUACUAUUCUACUGAUGCAGCCUAAACUCAGUUAUUGUUGUGUAACCUAAGUAAUAUUUUGACCCAGCAUUUCCUGUUCAGCCUAGAUUUGUCCCGGUCAUUCUCUUUUGUUCCAUAGCAUAUCUAGGGUAUUUGCAUCAGCUUCUGCAUUGGUGUUUCAUAGCGCAAGCCUUUUUAGGUGAUGAUAAUGUUAUAUUUCUUCAUUUAUUAUAUGCCUAUUCUUUAUCCAUCAUAAAGUUGGGCUAUAACAUUUGU